AUGCAAAGAACUUUGAAAAGAGAGUUAAAGAGUACCUGAAAUUGCUGAAAGGGAAGCGAAGGAAACCAGUGCUUAUUCUAUGCCAUUCUUCUUCUGUUGCUUGCGACAGAAGCGCUGUGGUUUAGUAUGGGCCAGCAUGGGUUUGACUCGGAGGAAAUGGCUUUGUGGGAGGUAGGUUCUUUUCGAACUGAAGACCACUUUGUUCUACUCUGGGUUGGAUCGAGGAUAGUCACUUGUGCUCGUGAUGCUGGCGAAAUGGUUUUCUUUACCCCGUCUUGAAACACGGACCAAGGAGUCUAACAUAUGUGCGAGUAUAGGGGUGGCAAACCCCCAUGCGAAAUGAAAGUAACAGUGGUUGGACCUUCUGGGGCACAAUCCGCCGGCCACAAUCCUUCGGGAGAAAGGUCUGAGUGUGAGCAUACAUGUUGGGACCCGAAAGGUGGUGAACUAUGCCUGAAUAGGGUGAAGCCAGGGGAAACUCUGGUGGAGGCUCGUAGCGAUUCUGACGUGCAAAUCGAUCGUCAAAUUUGGGUAUAGGGGCGAAAGACUAAUCGAACCACCUAGUAGCUGGUUCCCUCCGAAAUUUCCCUCAGGAUAGCUGCAAUCGAAUGUCAAUUUUAUCA
Molecule: ribosomal RNA, 623 nt
Filed under: Chaetoceros cf. pseudobrevis 1 SEH-2013
Lineage: Eukaryota; Bacillariophyta; Thalassiosirophyceae; Chaetocerotales; Chaetocerotaceae
Description: eukaryotic LSU rRNA
Rfam family: Eukaryotic large subunit ribosomal RNA
Source: RNAcentral